GACGAACGCUGGCGGCGUGCUUAACACAUGCAAGUCGAACGGAAAGGCCCUGCUUUUGUGGGGUGCUCGAGUGGCGAACGGGUGAGUAACACGUGAGUAACCUGCCCUUGACUUUGGGAUAACUUCAGGAAACUGGGGCUAAUACCGGAUAGGAGCUCCUGCUGCAUGGUGGGGGUUGGAAAGUUUCGGCGGUUGGGGAUGGACUCGCGGCUUAUCAGCUUGUUGGUGGGGUAGUGGCUUACCAAGGCUUUGACGGGUAGCCGGCCUGAGAGGGUGACCGGCCAAUGGGGGUAGAAAUACCCGCCGAAGUCCCGCGGGGGGGAGGGGGGGGGAAAUGGUGAACAAGGGGGGGGGGCUUGAAGAAGGCACCCGGGGUGCGAAACUGGCGCGUUGGGGGUUGAAACCGGUUUCGGGUGAAAGAGAGGGUGGGUGGCGGAGAGGGGUAAAGAAGCACGGGCAAAAUCGG
RNAcentral lists this ribosomal RNA (466 nucleotides) under uncultured bacterium. RNAcentral's name for it is "partial 16S ribosomal RNA". The stretch from base 20 to 331 matches the Rfam family "Bacterial small subunit ribosomal RNA", at positions 47 to 358 of the family's 1533-position model. The record is from RNAcentral.